AAACAUCACGCGGGUGAAGCUGCGGGCAAAAGCUAGUAAACUAAUAACCACAAGUCAAUUGUGAAUUUCAACUUCAAUACGUUCCACAUUCGUUUAAUAAUAAAAUCUAAACAGCACCUACUGUAUACCAAGGCGCAUCUAUACAAGGUGGUGUUACUUGAACAGCUGAUUGGAUAUUUUUGUCUCUGCACAAGUACAGCAGAAUGUCAUCCAAGACGAAAUGGCGCAACUUUAGGAUGGCAACAAAACGAAAUGGCUAAAAAUUAUCUCCUAUUCCCUUUCGUUUUGACAUCCUCCUGUACCAAAAAGCAAUAACAAAAUCACGGGAGUUUUACUUAUAUCCAAUUGCUACCACCUUAUAUGGAUGCGCCUUGCUGUAUACUGACUAAUCAACAAUCGUUCCGCUGUUGUCUGUGCAUCACCUAAAGAAGUUUGUUAGUACAAGUAGUUGGAACAAGUUAACAGACACUUGUUGAGUUAAGUUGUAUACUAGAAUACUUUUAUUCUUCCUCUUUAAUUUUAUAAGCGAGAAUAACAAGUUGAGUGCAGAAAUUCAGUGACAAUUAUAAAAAGGUUGAAAGUGAAAAAAAAGUUCUUCAUAUGUGACUAAAAGAAGUACUAUUAAACAAAAAUAUUGAAGUGAAUUCCAGUUGUUUUGGUUGUACUAAAUCAACUAGCACGGCAGUAGCAAGCAACAGCACCGAAAAUAAUAGCUAAGUAACUAGAUAACGCAAGUGUAGCAGCCGGAAAGGCACCAAUUAACCAAACCACCAACUGUGCAACCAACCGUAUAUUUAAUAACAAAAAGAAUAACAAACAAACAAACAAAAACAAUAAUAAAGUGUCAUGUUGUAUCACUAAUGAAAAACUGCCAACAAUUUGAAAGUGCGAAAAAACAUUGCGAAAAGAAUAGACAAAAAAAAAAUUGC
Rhagoletis zephyria (snowberry fruit fly) is the source of this 929-nucleotide long non-coding RNA. RefSeq lists it as uncharacterized. Lineage: Eukaryota; Metazoa; Arthropoda; Insecta; Diptera; Tephritidae. The record is from RefSeq and is a predicted model, not a curated record.